Molecule: long non-coding RNA, 1368 nt
Filed under: Homo sapiens (human)
Lineage: Eukaryota; Metazoa; Chordata; Mammalia; Primates; Hominidae
Description: long non-coding RNA NONHSAT150929.1
Source: RNAcentral
CGGGUUCUUCGAAUGUGUGGUAGGGUGGGGGGCAUCCAUAUAGUCACUCCAGGUUUAUGGAGGGUUCUUCUACUAUUAGGACUUUUCGCUUCGAAGCGAAGGCUUCUCAAAUUAUGAAAAUUAUUAAUAUUACUGCUGUUAGAGAAAUGAAUGAGCCUACAGAUGAUAGGAUAUUUCAUGUGGUGUAUGCAUCGGGAUAGUCCGAGUAACGUCGGGGCAUUCCGGAUAGGCCGAGAAAGUGUUGUGGGAAGAAAGUUAGAUUUACGCCGAUGAAUAUGAUAGCGAAAUGGAUUUUGGCGUAGGUUUGGUCUAGGGUGUAGCCUGAGAAUAGGGGAAAUCAGUGAAUGAAGCCUCCUAUGAUGGCAAAUACAGCUCCUAUUGAUAGGACAUAGUGGAAGUGGGCUACAACGUAGUACGUGUCGUGUAGUACGAUGUCUAGUGAUGAGUUUGCUAAUACAAUGCCAGUCAGGCCACCUACGGUGAAAAGAAAAAUAAAUCCUAGGGCUCAGAGCACUGCAGCAGAUCAUUUCAUAUUGCUUCCGUGGAGUGUGGCGAGUCAGCUAAAUACUUUGACGCCGGUGGGGAUAGCGAUGAUUAUGGUAGCGGAGGUGAAAUAUGCUCGUGUGUCUACGUCUAUUCCUACUGUAAAUAUAUGGUGUGCUCACACGAUAAACCCUAGGAAGCCAAUUGAUAUCAUAGCUCAGACCAUACCUAUGUAUCCAAAUGGUUCUUUUUUUCCCGGAGUAGUAAGUUACAAUAUGGGAGAUUAUUCCGAAGCCUGGUAGGAUGAGAAUAUAAACUUCAGGGUGACCGAAAAAUCAGAAUAGGUGUUGGUAUAGAAUGGGGUCUCCUCCUCCGGCUGGGUCGAAGAAGGUGGUGUUGAGGUUACGGUCUGUUAGUAGUAUAGUGAUGCCAGCGGCUAGGACUGGGAGAGAUAGGAGAAAAGAUGGUUAGGUCUACGGAGGCUCCAGGGUGGGAGUAGUUCCCUGCCAAGGGAGGGUAGACUGUUCAACCUGUUCCUGCGCCGGCCUCCACUAUAGCAGAUGCAAGCAGGAGUAGGAGAGAGGGGGGUAAGAGUCAGAAGCUUAUGUUGUUUAUGCGGGGAAACGCCAUAUCGGGGGCACCGAUUAUUAGGGGAACUAGUCAGUUGCCAAAGCCUCCGAUUAUGAUGGGUAUUACUAUGAAGAAGAUUAUUACAAAUGCAUGGGCUGUGACGAUAACGUUGUAGAUGUGGUCGUUACCUAGAAGGUUGCCUGGCUGGCCCAGUUCGGCUCGAAUAAGGAGGCUUAGAGCUGUGCCUAGGACUCCAGCUCAUGCGCCGAAUAAUAGGUAUAGUGUUCCAAUGUCUUUGUGGUUUGUAGAGAAUAG